This is a long non-coding RNA of Podarcis muralis (Common wall lizard), 2230 nucleotides long. RefSeq lists it as uncharacterized. NCBI's taxonomy places the organism in Eukaryota, Metazoa, Chordata, Lepidosauria, Squamata, Lacertidae. The record is from RefSeq and is a predicted model, not a curated record.
AGAUGCUGAUGUGCAGGCAGGCAGGCAGGCAGGCAGGCAGGCAGGCACCCCUGCAAUUACCUUGCCUCAGUCUAAACCCCUCCCUUCCUCUGCACCAGCUGUCUGUCUCUCUCCAUCUCCCUCUCUCCCUCCCCUCCAGCCUCCGAUUCCAGGCAGCACCAUCGCUGUCCCCAUUUCCCCCUCCAUCACCAUGUUGGACAUUUUCAUCCUCAUGUUUUUUGCCAUUAUCGGCCUGGUUGUUUUAUCCUACAUCAUCUAUAUGUUGUAGAAUCUCCAGCCACGCCACCAGCAAAGCCUAUGGAGGGCGGCCAAGCAAGGAGACUGCUUUUCUCGAUUCACGCUGUUAUCUCAGCAAUACUGCAGAUGGGAGAAACCACCUUGGAGGAGAUCUCAGCGGCGUGGUCCUCUAGAGUUCUUCCAGAGAAUAGAGUUCUUCCAGAGCAUUCUCGAGAAAGGUUAACCCUUUGCACGACCAAAUGGCAAAGAGAAGAAUGAUUCAGCCCAACGCCCUGAAGAUGCCCCUUGAGAUUUCAAAGGAUUUGGGCUGGAAUUGCAACGGGAACAACAAGGGAACAAGGCCAGGGGUGGACAAAAAUGGACAGCAAGAGAAAGGUGACUGAAAGGUUCUAAGAGGAAAAAGGGGUAAAGCUAUUGCUUGGACUACCCUACUGUUGUUGUUUUUUUAAAAAAGAGCUUUUCUAUAUGUGAAAAUAUGCAGCCUUUGAAUGGAAAAAAUAGUAUUUUCUUUCAUUUGUAAGUUCUGGGUUUGUUUGUUUUUUAGUAAAAAGGAAUCUGGGAAAAUACGGAUUUCUAAAGGCCAAAUGGUGGCAGGGCUGGGGGGAGAGACACAGAUGGAUAACCAAACGUAUUCUAGCUAAUGUUUGUCAUGCUAAGGUCCCAAUAUGGACAACACAGUCUCUGUGCAGAAAUGGGUUUUGGCAUGGACAUCAUCUAUCAGGUGGAGAAGGGUUGGGGCAGCACACCCAGCAGCUCAGUAGUAUAUUCAAAACACCCCACAUUUCCCUGUGUGGAAGCUUGUACAUGAAACACUAUGUCUCUGAGAGGUGUGGCUUUGUGCUGCUACUGCUGUUCAGGGGACCAGAAUGCUUAUUUUUGCCUUUUUUUAAAAAAAGAAAAAUUUCCAGAAAAUAUUUUUUAUACAUAGUUGCUUUCUCCCCUAUAUCUUUCCAAGCUGGUCAGAUUUUUGCACAGGGACAUGAAAGCCACAUGCGAAAUACGUAGAAAGGAGUGUGUCCUUUGGGUUGAUAUGAAAGCUUAGGGAUUCUCUUUCUCCAAUAUGUCACAUGUUCAUAAUUUCUAUGAAUAUGAGAGAAACGUGAAAAGGAAGUAUUGUUUGAAAGCUGUCAGAUGGACUUAUCUCCCUCCCUCCCAUUCCAAAGGAAAAUGUUUCUGCGAUGACUUCAGAGCACUAAAAUGCCAGAAUAUUGGCUCAGUACAGUUACUAAUACAGAUAAAAAAUUUGACAUAGUGCAAAUUCUUGUGUGAAAAUAAUGUCCUUGCAAACUGUUGCAGGUUGUAACUUUUUGCCUCCACAUCCAAACUGAUACUCUCAGCUAGGCAAGGAGGAGAGAUUUGAAGUAACAUUUAAAGGUGAAUUUACCCAAUCUGUGCUUUCUGAAACAAUAAGUGAACUGGAACACAGCCAUCCUUUGAAAUGUGGACUUCUCCAAAUUUUGCAAUGCUGUUUGCCAGCCAAGUGAUGCGUAGAAAAAUGUAUGUGCUAGGGUUGUAAAGUGUGCAUCAAAAUACAUAUAUUAGUGAAAAUAACUUACAGAAAUGUAUAUGAUGAGAAAUAUGCUUUGCAAAGCAAGUAUUCGGCAAAAUGGCAAGCCAGCGUAUUAGGAGAAAUUUGCACUGAAAGGCUGAUGAGUUUCCUUGGACUUUUUAAAAACAAAACAAAACCAAGAAUCAUAAAUUGAUAUGGAAAUGUGGAGAGCUGAAUUUAAGAUCGGAAGAAGCAGAAGGAAACUGAAACUGACAGAUUUACCCCGUUCCUACUUUCAGACUGGAAACAAAACUAUCUCUAAUGUGCAGGACCCAAUAUAUAAGCUCCAUGGUUUGUGUUUUUUUUGUUUCCUUGUAUUUUUGGAAUGUGUAAAAUGACACAAGAGGCAGAACCAAACAUAUUCCCUCACACAAACAGUAGUUUUUGGAAGGUUUGAAAUGUAAAAAUUAAUAAUUUAAUGUGAAUAAACUUCAAGGCACCUUG